AGUGAACGCUGGCGGCAGGCCUAACACAUGCAAGUCGAGCGGCAGCGGGUCCCCGCGAGGGGAUGCCGGCGAGCGGCGGACGGGUGAGGAACACAUCGGAAUCUGCCUGGUUGUGGGGGAUAACGUAGGGAACUUACGCUAAUACCGCAUGAGACCCUGAGUCGACGGACUGGGGGUGAAAGUGAGGGACCUUCGGGCCGUCACGCGACCAGAUGAGCCGAUGUCGGAUUAGCUAGUUGGCGGGGUAACGGCCCGCCAAGGCGACGAUCCGUAGCUGGUCUGAGAGGAUGAUCAGCCACACUGGGACUGAGACACGGCCCAGACUCCUACGGGAGGCAGCAGUGGGGAAUCUUGGACAAUGGGCG
This 365-nucleotide ribosomal RNA is filed under the name uncultured bacterium. RNAcentral describes it as "bacterial SSU rRNA". It matches the Rfam family "Bacterial small subunit ribosomal RNA", at positions 30 to 377 of the family's 1533-position model. The record is from RNAcentral.